UCCGGAGUAGCUCAACGGUAGAGCAAGGCGCUGUUAACGCCGAGGUUGCUGGUUCGAAUCCAGUCUCCGGAGCCA
Molecule: transfer RNA, 75 nt
Filed under: Chloroflexota bacterium
Lineage: Bacteria; Bacillati; Chloroflexota
Also listed under: 4 other names
Description: Chloroflexi bacterium tRNA-Asn
Rfam family: tRNA
About the family: Transfer RNA (tRNA) molecules are approximately 80 nucleotides in length. Their secondary structure includes four short double-helical elements and three loops (D, anti-codon, and T loops).
Source: RNAcentral